RNAcentral lists this ribosomal RNA (464 nucleotides) under uncultured bacterium. RNAcentral's name for it is "partial 16S ribosomal RNA". It matches the Rfam family "Bacterial small subunit ribosomal RNA", at positions 339 to 795 of the family's 1533-position model. The record is from RNAcentral.
CUACGGGACGCACCAGUGGGGAAUAUUGCGCAAUGGGCGAAAGCCUGACGCAGCAACGCCGUGUGAGGGAUGAAGGCUUUCGGGUCGUAAACCUCUGUCAGAAGGGAAGAACGGGUAUUGGUCUAAUAGGCCUUUAUUUUGACGGUACCUUCAGAGGAAGCACCGGCUAACUCCGUGCCAGCAGCCGCGGUAAUACGGAGGGUGCAAGCGUUAUUCGGAAUUACUGGGCGUAAAGCGCACGUAGGCCGCUUUGUAAGUCAGGGGUGAAAUCCCACGGCUCAACCGUGGAACUGCCUUUGAAACUGCAGAGCUUGAAUCCUGGAGAGGGUGGCGGAAUUCCUGGUGUAGGAGUGAAAUCCGUAGAUAUCAGGAGGAACACCGGUGGCGAAGGCGGCCACCUGGACAGGUAUUGACGCUGAGGUGCGAAAGUGUGGGGAGCAAACAGGAUUGAUACCCGUGUAGUC